AGUGAACGCUGGCGGUAGGCCUAACACAUGCAAGUCGAACGGCAGCACAGUAAGAGCUUGCUCUUACGGGUGGCGAGUGGCGGACGGGUGAGGAAUACAUCGGAAUCUACUUUUUCGUGGGGGAUAACGUAGGGAAACUUACGCUAAUACCGCAUACGACCUACGGGUGAAAGCAGGGGAUCUUCGGACCUUUCGCGAUUGAAUGAGCCGAUGUCGGAUUAGCUAGUUGGCGGGGUAAAGGCCCACCAAGGCGACGAUCCGUAGCUGGUCUGAGAGGAUGAUCAGCCACACUGGAACUGAGACACGGUCCAGACUCCUACGGGAGGCAGCAGUGGGGAAUAUUGGACAAUGGGCGCAAGCAUGAUCCAGCCAGACCGCGUGGGUGAAGAAGGACUUCGGGUUGUAAAGCACUUUUGUUGGGAAAGAAAAGCAGCAGGUUAAUACCACGCUGUUCUGACGGUACCCAAAGAAUAAGCACCGGCUAACUUCGUG
Molecule: ribosomal RNA, 492 nt
Filed under: uncultured bacterium
Lineage: Bacteria
Description: partial 16S ribosomal RNA
Rfam family: Bacterial small subunit ribosomal RNA
Source: RNAcentral